Molecule: ribosomal RNA, 460 nt
Filed under: uncultured bacterium
Lineage: Bacteria
Description: partial 16S ribosomal RNA
Rfam family: Bacterial small subunit ribosomal RNA
Source: RNAcentral
CCUACGGGGGACAGCAGUGAGGAAUAUUGGUCAAUGGACGAGAGUCUGAACCAGCCAAGUAGCGUGAAGGAUGACUGCCCUAUGGGUUGUAAACUUCUUUUAUAAAGGAAUAAAACGAGGCACGGGUGCCUUUUUGCAUGUAAUUUAUGAAUAAGGAUCGGCUAACUCCGUGCCAGCAGCCGCGGUAAUACGGAGGAUCCGAGCGUUAUCCGGCUUGAUUGGGUUUAAAGGGAGCGUAGAUGGGUUGUUAAGUCAGUUGUGAAAGUUUGCGGCUCAACCGUAAAAUUGCAAUUGAUACUGGCAGUCUUGAGUACAGUUGAGGUAGGCGGAAUUCGUGGUGUAGCGGUGAAAUGCUUAGAUAUCACGAAGAACCCCGAUUGCGAAGGCAGCUUACUAAACUGUGACUGACAUUGAUGCUCGAAAGUGUGGGUAUCAAACAGGAUUAGAUACCCUAGUAGUC